ACGCACGCUGGCGGCGUGCUUCACACCUGCAAGUCGAACGGAAAGGCCCUGCUUGCAGGGUACUCGAGUGGCGAACGGGUGAGUAACACGUGGGUGAUCUGCCCUGCACUUCGGGAUAAGCCUGGGAAACUGGGUCUAAUACCGGAUAGGAGCCAUUUUUAGUGUGAUGGUUGGAAAGUUUUUUCGGUGUAGGAUGAGCUCGCGGCCUAUCAGCUUGUUGGUGGGGUAAUGGCCUACCAAGGCGGCGACGGGUAGCCGGCCUGAGAGGGUGGACGGCCACAUUGGGACUGAGAUACGGCCCAGACUCCUACGGGAGGCAGCAGUGGGGAAUAUUGCACAAUGGGCGCAAGCCUGAUGCAGCGACGCCGCGUGGGGGAUGACGGCCUUCGGGUUGUAAACUCCUUUCGCUAGGGACGAAGCUUUUUGUGACGGUACCUAGAUAAGAAGCACCGGCUAACUACGUG
RNAcentral lists this ribosomal RNA (464 nucleotides) under uncultured bacterium. RNAcentral's name for it is "partial 16S ribosomal RNA". It matches the Rfam family "Bacterial small subunit ribosomal RNA", at positions 29 to 507 of the family's 1533-position model. The record is from RNAcentral.